ACGCGUUGGGAGCUCUCCCAUAUGGUCGACCUGCAGGCGGCCGCGAAUUCACUAGUGAUUCGUAUUACCGCGGCUGCUCACACAUAGUUAACCGGUGCUUAUUCUGUCGGUAACGUCAAAAUUGCAGAGUAUUAAUCUACAACCCUUCCUCCCAACUUAAAGUGCUUUACAAUCCGAAGACCUUCUUCACACACGCGGCAUGGCUGGAUCAGGCUUUCGCCCAUUGUCCAAUAUUCCCCACUGCUGCCUCCCGUAGGAGUCUGGACCGUGUCUCAGUUCCAGUGUGACUGAUCAUCCUCUCAGACCAGUUACGGAUCGUCGCCUUGGUGAGCCAUUACCUCACCAACAAGCUAAUCCGACCUAGGCUCAUCUGAUAGCGCAAGGCCCGAAGGUCCCCUGCUUUCUCCCGUAGGACGUAUGCGGUAUUAGCGUUCCUUUCGAAACGUUGUCCCCCACUACCAGGCAGAUUCCUAGGCAUUACUCACCCGUCCGCCGCUGAAUCCAGGAGCAAGCUCCUGUCAUCCGCUCGACUUGCAUGUGUUAGGCCUGCCGCCAGCGUUCAAUCUGAGCCAUGAUCAAACUCUAAUCGAAUUCCCGCGGCCGCCAUGGCGGCCGGAAGCAUGCGAC
This 627-nucleotide ribosomal RNA is filed under the name uncultured Gammaproteobacteria bacterium. RNAcentral describes it as "partial 16S ribosomal RNA". Lineage: Bacteria; Pseudomonadati; Pseudomonadota; Gammaproteobacteria. The record is from RNAcentral.